GGAUGUGAGGGCGAUCUGGCUGUGACAUCUGUCACCCCAUUGAUCGCCAGGGCUGACUCAGCUGAUCUGACUGGCUAGGCAGAUGUCCCCUUCCUCCCUCAAUGAUCCAUGUGCAUCCCUCCCGAAGCUGCGUGCUCAGUCGAAGAGGACGACCACCCCCAAUAGAGGAGGACCGUUCCUCGGUCAAGGGUAUAUGAGUAGCUGCACUCCCCUGCUAGACCUCCAAACAAGCUCUCAAUCUAUGAGAAUUCUGCAUUAUUUCUAAAGGACGAAUUGUAGUACUGGGGGACAGUUACCCGUUUCUA
RNAcentral lists this small nuclear RNA (305 nucleotides) under Octodon degus (degu). RNAcentral's name for it is "7SK RNA (ENSODEG00000023066.1)". It matches the Rfam family "7SK RNA". Rfam says of the family: 7SK was discovered as an abundant small nuclear RNA in the mid-70s but a possible function has only recently been suggested. The record is from RNAcentral. Lineage: Eukaryota; Metazoa; Chordata; Mammalia; Rodentia; Octodontidae.